This 75-nucleotide transfer RNA is filed under the name Hyphomonas sp. Its description in RNAcentral is "tRNA-Cys". It matches the Rfam family "tRNA". Rfam says of the family: Transfer RNA (tRNA) molecules are approximately 80 nucleotides in length. Their secondary structure includes four short double-helical elements and three loops (D, anti-codon, and T loops). Further hydrogen bonds mediate the characteristic L-shaped molecular structure. tRNAs have two regions of fundamental functional importance: the anti-codon, which is responsible for specific mRNA codon recognition, and the 3' end, to which the tRNAs corresponding amino acid is attached (by aminoacyl-tRNA synthetases). tRNAs cope with the degeneracy of the genetic code in two manners: having more than one tRNA (with a specific anti-codon) for a particular amino acid; and 'wobble' base-pairing, i.e. permitting non-standard base-pairing at the 3rd anti-codon position. The record is from RNAcentral. Lineage: Bacteria; Pseudomonadati; Pseudomonadota; Alphaproteobacteria; Hyphomonadales; Hyphomonadaceae.
UGGCGGCUGGCAGAGAGGCAAUGCGCCGGAUUGCAAAUCCGGAUUUCACCGGUUCAAAUCCGGUGCCGCCAUCCA